AGGACGAACGCUGGCGGCGUGCUUAACACAUGCAAGUCGAGCGGAAAGGCCCUUCGGGGUACUCGAGCGGCGAACGGGUGAGUAACACGUGAGCAACCUGCCCUUAGCUCCGGGAUAGCUCCGGGAAACCGGAAUUAAUACCGGAUACGACCACGGCCGACAUCUGCUGUGGUGGAAAGGAUUCCGGCUAAGGAUGGGCUCGCGGCCUAUCAGCUAGUUGGUGGAGUAGCGGCCCACCAAGGCGACGACGGGUAGCCGGCCUGAGAGGGCGACCGGCCACACUGGGACUGAGACACGGCCCAGACUCCUACGGGAGGCAGCAGUGGGGAAUAUUGCGCAAUGGGCGAAAGCCUGACGCAGCGACGCCGCGUGGGGGAUGAAGGCCUUCGGGUUGUAAACCCCUUUCAGCAGGGACGAAGCGAAAGUGACGGUACCUGCAGAAGAAGCGCCGGCUAACUACGCGCCAGCAGCCGC
This 474-nucleotide ribosomal RNA is filed under the name uncultured bacterium. Its description in RNAcentral is "SSU rRNA". It matches the Rfam family "Bacterial small subunit ribosomal RNA", at positions 26 to 518 of the family's 1533-position model. The record is from RNAcentral.